GGGCACGCAAGGGAGCACUCUCCCCUGAGCACUCUCUGCCCAUCUCCCUCUCGCACCGCAUAUGACGUCAUUGUGGCUUUGACAUCAGUACGCGGCGCGCGAGGGAGCUGGGCAGAGAGCGCUCAGGGGAGAGUGCUCCCUCGCGCGU
Pelobates cultripes (western spadefoot toad) is the source of this 148-nucleotide non-coding RNA. NCBI's taxonomy places the organism in Eukaryota, Metazoa, Chordata, Amphibia, Anura, Pelobatidae. The record is from the annotation of a GenBank genome assembly.